Molecule: ribosomal RNA, 543 nt
Filed under: uncultured bacterium
Lineage: Bacteria
Description: partial 16S ribosomal RNA
Rfam family: Bacterial small subunit ribosomal RNA
Source: RNAcentral
UGACGCCGCAACGCCGCGUGGGGGAUGAAGGCCUUCGGGUUGUAAACUCCUUUCGACCGGGACGAAUGGGUCCGGGUUAUACCCCGGGGGAUGGACGGUCCCGGUAAAGGAACCCCCGGUUAACUCCGGGCCAGCAGCCGCGGAAAUACAGGGGGGGCAAGGGUUGUUCGGAUUUACUGGGCGUAAAGGGGUGGAAGGCGGCCUUCUAAGUCGGACGUGAAAUCCCCGGGUUCACCUGGGGAACUGCUUCGAAAAUGGGGGGGGUUGGGUGUGGGGAAGGGGAUUGGAAUUCCCUGGGGAACAGGGAAAUGGGUAAAUGUUCGGAAGAACACCCGUGGCGAAGGGGAGCCCCUGGACCUGAACUGGCCCUCAUGGACGAAAACCCUGGGGGAGCAAAGGGGAUAACACCCCCGGGUAGUCCUGGCCCUAAAAAAUGAAUGCUGGUGUGUGGGCGUUAUCUGAUCCCUGCCGUGCCGAAGCUAACGCAUUAGGACCUCCUGCCUGGGGAUGUACGGUCGCAAGGCUACACACUCAAAGGAAUUG